This 407-nucleotide ribosomal RNA is filed under the name uncultured bacterium. Its description in RNAcentral is "bacterial SSU rRNA". It matches the Rfam family "Bacterial small subunit ribosomal RNA", at positions 354 to 776 of the family's 1533-position model. The record is from RNAcentral.
GUGGGGAAUAUUGGGCAAUGGGCGAAAGCCUGACCCAGCAACGCCGCGUGAAGGAAGAAGGCCCUCGGGUUGUAAACUUCUUUUAUGAGGGACGAAGAAGUGACGGUACCUCAUGAAUAAGCCACGGCUAACUACGUGCCAGCAGCCGCGGUAAUACGUAGGUGGCAAGCGUUAUCCGGAUUUACUGGGUGUAAAGGGCGUGUAGGCGGGACUGCAAGUCAGAUGUGAAAUUCCAGGGCUCAACCCUGGAACUGCAUUUGAAACUGUGGUUCUUGAGUGAUGGAGAGGCAGGCGGAAUUCCGUGUGUAGCGGUGAAAUGCGUAGAUAUACGGAGGAACACCAGUGGCGAAGGCGGAUUGCUGGACAGUAACUGACGCUGAGGCGCGAAAGCGUGGGGAGCAAACAGG